Erinaceus europaeus (western European hedgehog) is the source of this 849-nucleotide long non-coding RNA. RefSeq lists it as uncharacterized. Lineage: Eukaryota; Metazoa; Chordata; Mammalia; Eulipotyphla; Erinaceidae. The record is from RefSeq and is a predicted model, not a curated record. The transcript has 4 exons.
UAGAAGGUGGAGUUGAGCAGCUCUUCCAGCCUGCGCGGGACGUCGUUCUCCUCGUAGUACCUCCUGGCCUGCUGCUUCAGCUUCUGCUGCUCCUUGGGGGUCCCGCAGCUGUGGCCGCCGCCUUCGUCCCCCAUGAUGAAAACAUCUGAGUCUCAGGGCUCAGCACCCCACCCAAGGGCACCUAGGAGUAGGGGAUGGAGAGUGUUGGUGUGUACGGCUUCUGUGGGUGUACAGCCAAGAACAAAAUGAAGUGCGAUUCAAGGUGGGAAAUAAGCGCCUCAGGCUAAACUAAGAAAUAAUUCUAAAGACUGGUGAACUGAAGAUAGAACAUGUGGAUGAUAACAGGGCCUCUGGUUGACGUCACUGAUAUGUUCCAGGGGCUUCAAGUGACAGCUGAUGAUUGCAGCGGUGACCCAGGGAAGGUGACCUUGUGCUCCACUGGACUUUAAACAUUUCGGCAAGGCAAAUUUGAUACUGUUUUAUCAUAGCUUAAGGCUUGUUGGUGACCCUUUCAGAUUCAGCUCUGGCUUCACUUUGAUCUUGAGGCCUCGCUCUGGUUCUGCCAACAUGCUGAAGGUUCUCUGGACAGCAGAGGCAAUUGAACAAACUCUAUUUUUAUCUUUCAGAAAGAAGUUCACAUGGCAUUUGUGUGCAAGUGCCCAUCGGACAUGGAAUGGACCACUAUUUUAUUUGCUCUCUAUGUGCACAAAACCCCUGUCUUAGAAUCAGAUCCCUAGAAUGUAAAUAACUGCCGAGGACUUUGGUGAUCCAGUCCUUUUUUAUUUUGUCCAAGCUUCACUUUAUUUUAUUUUACUUUAUUUCAUUGCAUUGUCACUAGAGUUAUCACUG